GCUGGGUGCACUGGCGUGUACCUGUAGUCCCAGUUACUGAGGAGGCUGAGGUGGGAGGAUCUCUUGAACCCAGGGGGUUGAAGCUGCAGUGAGCUGUAAUCACACCACUGCACUUCAAACCUGGGUGACAGAGUGAGACCCUGUCUCAA
RNAcentral lists this non-coding RNA (149 nucleotides) under Gorilla gorilla gorilla (western lowland gorilla). The record is from Rfam by way of RNAcentral. Lineage: Eukaryota; Metazoa; Chordata; Mammalia; Primates; Hominidae.